GGGGUUGUGGCUCAGUGGUAGAGCGUUUGCCUAGUAUGUGAGAGGCCCUGGGUUCCAUUCCCAGUACCGCCA
Molecule: non-coding RNA, 72 nt
Organism: Marmota monax (woodchuck)
Lineage: Eukaryota; Metazoa; Chordata; Mammalia; Rodentia; Sciuridae
Source: the annotation of a RefSeq genome assembly